This 253-nucleotide ribosomal RNA is filed under the name uncultured bacterium. RNAcentral describes it as "partial 16S ribosomal RNA". It matches the Rfam family "Bacterial small subunit ribosomal RNA", at positions 524 to 776 of the family's 1533-position model. The record is from RNAcentral.
UACGUAGGGGGCAAGCGUUGUCCGGAAUCAUUGGGCGUAAAGAGCGCGUAGGCGGUCCGGUAAGUCCGCUCUGAAAGUCCGGGGCUCGACCCCGGGAGGCGGGCGGAUACUGUCGGGCUAGAGUCCGGAAGAGGCGAGUGGAAUUCCUGGUGUAGCGGUGAAAUGCGCAGAUAUCAGGAGGAACACCAAUGGCGAAGGCAGCUCGCUGGGACGGUACUGACGCUGAGGCGCGAAAGCGUGGGGAGCAAACAGG